RNAcentral lists this ribosomal RNA (1216 nucleotides) under Spegazzinia tessarthra. RNAcentral describes it as "eukaryotic LSU rRNA". It matches the Rfam family "Eukaryotic large subunit ribosomal RNA", at positions 91 to 1327 of the family's 3401-position model. The record is from RNAcentral. Lineage: Eukaryota; Fungi; Ascomycota; Dothideomycetes; Pleosporales; Didymosphaeriaceae.
GAGUGAAGCGGCGACAGCUCAAAUUUGAAAUCUGGCCUCCUCCGGGGGCCCGAGUUGUAAUUUGCAGAGGGUGCUUUGGUGGUGGCGGCGGUCUAAGUUCCCUGGAACAGGACAUCGCAGAGGGUGAGAAUCCCGUACGUGGGCGCCUGCCACCUCCGUGUAAAGCCCCUUCGACGAGUCGAGUUGUUUGGGAAUGCAGCUCUAAAUGGGAGGUAAAUUUCUUCUAAAGCUAAAUACCGGCCAGAGACCGAUAGCGCACAAGUAGAGUGAUCGAAAGAUGAAAAGUACUUUGGAAAGAGAGUAAAAUAGCACGUGAAAUUGUUGUAGAGGAAGCGCUUGCAGCCAGACUUCCCCGUAGUUGCUCACCCGGGCUCUUGCCCGGGGCACUCUUCUGCGGGGAGGCCAGCAUCAGUUUGGGCGGUCGGAGAAAGGCCUCUGUCACGUAUCUCCCUCCGGGGUGACCUUAUAGGGGAGGCGUAAUGCGACCAGCCCGGACUGAGGUCCGCGCAUCUGCCAGGAUGCUGGCGUAAUGGCUGUAAGCGGCCCGUCUUGAAACACGGACCAAGGAGUCUAACAUCUAUGCGAGUGUUUGGGUGUCAAGCCCGGGCGCGCAAUGAAAGUGAACGGAGGUGGGAACCCUCGGGUGCACCAUCGACCGAUCCUGAUGUCUUCGGAUGGAUUUGAGUAAGAGCAUAGCUGUUGGGACCCGAAAGAUGGUGAACUAUGCUUGAAUAGGGUGAAGCCAGAGGAAACUCUGGUGGAGGCUCGCAGCGGUUCUGACGUGCAAAUCGAUCGUCAAAUUUGGGCAUAGGGGCGAAAGACUAAUCGAACUAUCUAGUAGCUGGUUCCUGCCGAAGUUUCCCUCAGGAUAGCAGUAACGUUUUCAGUUUUAUGAGGUAAAGCGAAUGAUUAGAGGCCUGGGGGUUGAAACAACCUUCACCUAUUCUCAAACUUUAAAUAUGUAAGAAGUCCUUGUUACUUGAUUGAACGUGGACAUUUGAAUGUAUCGUUACUAGUGGGCCAUUUUUGGUAAGCAGAACUGGCGAUGCGGGAUGAACCGAACGCGGGGUUAAGGUGCCGGAAUGCACGCUCAUCAGACACCACAAAAGGUGUUAGUUCAUCUAGACAGCAGGACGGUGGCCAUGGAAGUCGGAAUCCGCUAAGGAGUGUGUAACAACUCACCUGCCGAAUGAACUAGCCCUGAAAAUGGAUGGCG